Molecule: ribosomal RNA, 456 nt
Filed under: uncultured bacterium
Lineage: Bacteria
Description: bacterial SSU rRNA
Rfam family: Bacterial small subunit ribosomal RNA
Source: RNAcentral
GAUGAACGCUGGCGGCGUGCAUAACACAUUCAAGUCGAACGGAGUUAUCUUGAUUAAUCCUUUGGGAAGCGUUGGGAUAACUUAGUGGCGGACGGGUGAGUAACGCGUGAGCAACCUGCCUCUGUGUGUGGAAUAACGUCUGGAAACGGACGCUAAUACCGCAUAAUGCAACGGAAUCGCAUGUUUCUGUUGCCAAAGAUUUAUUGCACAGAGAUGGGCUCGCGUCUGAUUAGCUAGAUGGCGGGGUAACGGCCCACCAUGGCGACGAUCAGUAGCCGGUCUGAGAGGAUGAACGGCCACAUUGGGACUGAGAUACGGCCCAGACUCCUACGGGAGGCAGCAGUGGGAAUAUUGGGCAAUGGGGGAAACCCUGACCCAGCAACGCCGCGUGAAGGAAGAAGGCCUUCGGUUGUAAACGUUCUUUAGUUAGGGACGAAGAACGUGACGGUACCUACA